GAGUUUGAUCUUGGCUCAGAUUGAACGCUGGCGGCAUGGCUAAAACAUGCAAGUCGAACGCGAAAGCACUUCGGUGCAAGUAGAGUGGCGAAAGGGCGAGGAAUACGUACCUAACGUGCCUUCAGGUAAGGGAUAGCUCAUGGAAACGUGUGGUAAUACCUUAUAAUCUCGAUCCUUCGUAUGUAGGAUUGAGCAAAGGCUUGCUGCCUGAAGAUCGGGAUACGUCCUAUCAGCUUGUUGGUGAGGUAACGGCUCACCAAGGCGAAGACGGGUAGCGGGUGUGAGAGCAUGACCCGCCGCAUCGGGACUGAGACACUGCCCGGACUCCUACGGGAGGCUGCAGUAACGAAUAUUCCGCAAUGCGCGAAAGCGUGACGGAGCAAUGCCGCGUGUGGGAUGAAGCAUCUAGGUGUGUAAACCACUGUCAGGGUUUAGGAAUUUUGACCAGACCCAAAGGAAGAGCCGGCUAACUCUGUGCCAGCGGCCGCGGUAAUACAGAGGGCUCGAGCGUUAAUCGGAAUCACUGGGCUUAAAGGGUCCGCAGGCGGAUUGGUAAGUAUCUUGUGAAAUACCAUGGCUCAACCAUGGAACUGCUCGGUAAACUGCCAAUCUUGAACACGGUAGGGGCCAUCGGAACUCUAGGUGGAGCGGUGAAAUGCGUAGAUAUCUAGAGGAACGCCAGAGGCGAAGGCGGAUGGCUGGGCCGUUGUUGACGCUCAGGGACGAAAGCAUGGGUAGCGAACGGGAUUAGAUACCCCGGUAGUCCAUGCCCUAAACGAUGUGCACUAGGUCGCGGAAGGUUUGACCCUAUCGCGGCUGAAGUUAAAAUAUUAAGUGCACCGCCUGGGGAGUACGGUCGCAAGGCUAAAACUCAAAGGAAUUGACGGGGGCUCACACAAGCGGUGGAGCAUGUGGCUUAAUUCGAAGCAACGCGAAGAACCUUAUCCAGGGCUUGACAUGUAUGGAUUAGUUUCCCGAAAAGGAAAUGACGCUCUCUGAGUGGAACAUACACAGGUGCUGCAUGGCUGUCGUCAGCUCGUGCUGUGAAGUGUCGGGUUAAGUCCCUUAACGAGCGAAACCCCUAUCCUUAGUUGCCAGCGAGUCAUGUCGGGGACUCUAGGGAGACUGCCGGCGUCAAGCCGGAGGAAGGUGGGGAUGACGUCAAGUCCUCAUGGCCUUUAUGCCCUGGGCUGCACACGUGCUACAAUGGUACGGACAGAGCGAAGCAAGACCGCGAGGUGGAGCAAAUCGCACAAACCGUGCCCCAGUUCGGAUUGUAGUCUGCAACUCGACUACAUGAAGUUGGAAUCGCUAGUAAUCGCGCAUCAGCUACGGCGCGGUGAAUAAGUUCCUGAGCCUUGUACACACCGCCCGUCACGUCAUGGGAGCCGGGAGCACCCGAAGUAGUCACGACUCAGUGAUUCCUACGGUGAGCUCGGUGACUGGGACGAAGUCGUAACAAGGUAACCGUA
This 1472-nucleotide ribosomal RNA is filed under the name uncultured Planctomycetales bacterium. RNAcentral's name for it is "bacterial SSU rRNA". It matches the Rfam family "Bacterial small subunit ribosomal RNA". Lineage: Bacteria; Pseudomonadati; Planctomycetota; Planctomycetia; Planctomycetales. The record is from RNAcentral.